AUUGAACGCUGGCGGCAGGCCUAACACAUGCAAGUCGAACGGUAACAGGAAGCAGCUUGCUGCUUUGCUGACGAGUGGCGGACGGGUGAGUAAUGUCUGUGAAACUGCCUGAUGGAGGGGGAUAACUACUGGAAACGGUAGCUAAUACCGCAUAACGUCGCAAGACCAAAGAGGGGGACCUUAGGGCCUCUUGCCAUCGGAUGUGCCCAGAUGGGAUUAGCUAGUAGGUGGGGUAACGGCUCACCUAGGCGACGAUCCCUAGCUGGUCUGAGAGGAUGACCAGCCACACUGGAACUGAGACACGGUCCAGACUCCUACGGGAGGCAGCAGUGGGGAAUAUUGCACAAUGGGCGCAAGCCUGAUGCAGCCAUGCCGCGUGUAUGAAGAAGGCCUUCGGGUUGUAAAGUACUUUCAGCGGGGAGGAAGGGAGUAAAGUUAAUACCUUUGCCCAUUGACGUUACCCGCAGAAGAAGCACCGGCUAACUCCGUG
This 490-nucleotide ribosomal RNA is filed under the name uncultured bacterium. Its description in RNAcentral is "partial 16S ribosomal RNA". It matches the Rfam family "Bacterial small subunit ribosomal RNA", at positions 30 to 507 of the family's 1533-position model. The record is from RNAcentral.